GAUGAACGCUAGCUACAGGCUUAACACAUGCAAGUCGGGGGGAGACGAUAGAGAAAGCUUGCUUUUUCUAGGCGUCGACCGGCGCACGGGUGAGUAACGCGUAUCCAACCUGCCCAUCACUUGGGGAUAACCUUGCGAAAGUAAGACUAAUACCCAAUGACGUCUCUAGAAGACAUCUGAAAGAGAUUAAAGAUUUAUCGGUGAUGGAUGGGGAUGCGUCUGAUUAGCUUGUUGGCGGGGUAACGGCCCACCAAGGCGACGAUCAGUAGGGGUUCUGAGAGGAAGGUCCCCCACAUUGGAACUGAGACACGGUCCAAACUCCUACGGGAGGCAGCAGUGAGGAAUAUUGGUCAAUGGACGAGAGUCUGAACCAGCCAAGUAGCGUGCAGGAUGACGGCCCUAUGGGUUGUAAACUGCUUUUAUAAGGGAAUAAAGUGAGUCUCGUGAGGCUUUUUGCAUGUACCUUAUGAAUAAGGACCGGCUAAUUCCGUGCCAGCAGCCGCAGUAA
RNAcentral lists this ribosomal RNA (508 nucleotides) under uncultured bacterium. RNAcentral describes it as "partial 16S ribosomal RNA". It matches the Rfam family "Bacterial small subunit ribosomal RNA", at positions 28 to 523 of the family's 1533-position model. The record is from RNAcentral.